This is a long non-coding RNA of Macaca fascicularis (crab-eating macaque), 3173 nucleotides long. The record is from Ensembl. NCBI's taxonomy places the organism in Eukaryota, Metazoa, Chordata, Mammalia, Primates, Cercopithecidae.
AUGACUGCAAUACCACGAGAUGAGACACAUGAGACCUGGUGCAGCAGUAACACACAGGAGGGAUCCAGCGAAGGUUCUGAAGAAGAUUCCAGCCUGCCACACUGUUGUGCUGUGAGUCCAGUGCUUAGUGGAACCCUGUCGUGGCCCACAGCCAUCAGGAUAUUUCUCCGGGAAAGCCCUUGGACCAAGAAGUCUAGAAUUGUCUGUGAAAACAAAAGCAUUUGGAUUCUUUUCAGGAAAAAUGUAACCUGCAAACAAAUAGCCUUGGAAAAUCAGUGCCUCACCCUCGGUGCCUGGGUCAGGCACAGGGAGUGCCCCCAGCCCGCCCCACCCGCUGCUUUCUAGCUGGAGUCCACCUCCUUUUCCUCUUCUGGUAUGUGGGGCUCUGGCUCCUCUCUGUCUGCCUGGCUGCUAUACUGCUAUUUGUCUGAACCUGAUGUUGUUCUACAAUCCUUCUACAAGGAUCUUCCAAUAAGAUAGGCUCAACCAACCUUGUGAGCCAGACUGGUCUCCCCAGAUCCUGUCUUCACAUUGGCUCCUCACUUCCCCAUUCCUCUCUGUCCCUGCCUUCUAUGUGGUAAUUCCCUUUUAAAAACAAUAAAUAAAAAUGAAAAAGAGAGUGGUGAACACACUGAAUUGUUGAAGCUUUUGUAGUCUGAGCUGUGAAACCUCAGUCUCUGAGUGCAGCUGUGCCCAAGGGUUCCAAUUGAGGAGGCUUCGGAUCAGUAAGCAGAUGCUUCAAAGUGCUCACGUGAAGCUUCCUCCUCCUCUUAGAAAACGCUGCAGGGGUAGGGAUGGGGUGGCCACACCCAACAACCAGCACCAGCCUGAGCCCCAAAGAGACUAGCUUGGGUGCCAUAGCACGGGACAGAGUAUCUUUUGAGUCCUCAUAACAACUCUGAGGGGUAGAUGUUAUUAUCCCCACUGUAUUGCUGAAGAAACUGAGGCUCAGAUGUGUUGAGUCAUUUGCUAAUACAUGCAGGAGCCAGGAUUCAUAAGCAAGGCUUUCUGUUCAAUUCCACUGUCUUCUCAUUGCCUCAUUUUUUGAGCGCAGCUGAGGCUCUGGGGUGAGUGAAGAUCAAAUCCGAGUUUCCGUCCUAUUUUCCCCUCCGGCUCGCUCUCACAGAGUCACUCUGAAGAUGGAAGCAGAAUCAGAACAGAGCUUGUGUAUUUUGUUAUGUCUCACCUCUUUUUCCCAAGAUUUCAAAGGCAUGGGCCCAUUUAUCUAGACACUCAAGUUCUCAACAGGGGCGUUAGCGGCUGGGGAGUGGAAUGCUGUUUGGAAAGGAUGAAACAACACUGGCAGUGUUUAUAUUCAAUUCCGGAGACCUGGUUAGAAAAAUAUUUUUAAAAAAUGGAAGGAAGAGUAACCAUGCACUUACAGAAUGUGGGCUCCUCAUUGCGAGGGACUUUUGCCCUUGGAUUCUAUUCCCAGGAGUAGACGUGUCCAGCCUCACACUGCCGUUAGGAGAUGAAAGGGAAUCUUUCAACAUUUCCUUCUAUUGUUUGUGCUUUCUCUCUGCUUUGUCACCAUCAUAUUCAUUAUUGGAAUUUUGUUAAUGUGCUGUUUCUCCCCUGGAAACAAAAGAGAAGAGCUGUCAAAGCAAAGCAGGAAAGACCUGUGGCUCACUCCUAAGUGAGUAAUUAUCAUGUGUCUUGGAAUGGUUGGCUGCUUCCAGUUGAAGAUGUUUGGGCUUAAAAAGGAAGACACAUAAGCAUCCAGUGAAGUGAAAGAUGGAGGAAUCCACCUGGCUGCGGGAGGUGGCUUAGAGCCCACAGCAAGGCACAGGGAGGGCUGAAUAUGACUCAGGAACUGGAACACCUGAGCUCAAAUCCUGAUUGCACUCUUUACAAGCUGUAUGACCUUGAGCAAGCUACUUACCAUCUCUGAACUGCACCAAGUUCAUCACAUAGACAGGAAUUCUGUCUAUGUGUUGUGUGUUCUUGUGAAAAUGAAACAUGAGAGAAUAUGAAAGUGCCCGGUACAUGGUAGCUUUCAAAUAUGUCUCUUUCCUUCUUUCAUUCUCCUGUUAACAUCCCUUCCACCUGCACAACCUCCAACAUGAAGCUUUCUUUCUUUCUUUCUUUCUUUUUUUUGAGAUAGAGUCUUGCUCUGUGGCCCAGGCUGGAGUGCAGUGGUAUGAUCUUGGCUCACUGCAACCUCCAUGAUAUAGUUAGGCUGUGCCCCCAUUCAAAUCUUAACUUGAAUUGUAUCUCCCAGAAUUCCCAUGUGUUGUGGGAGGGACCCAGUGGGAGGUAACUGAAUCAUGAGAGCUGGUCUUUCCCAUGCUAUUCUCAUGAUAGUGAAUAAGUCUCAUGGAUCUGAUGGGUUUAUCAGGGGUUUCCGCUUUUGCAUCCUUCUCAUUUUCUCUUGCUGCCACCAUGUAAGAAGUGCCUUUUACCUCCCACCAUGAUUCUGAGGCCUUCCCAGCCAUGUGGAACUGUAAGUCCAAUUAAACCUCUUUUUCUUCCCAGUCUCGGCUAUGUCUUUAUUAGCAGCGUGAAAACAGACUAAUACACUCUAUCUCCCAGGUUCAAGUGAUUCUUCUGCCUCAGCUUCCCGAGUAGCUGGGAUUACAAAUGACUGCCACCACACCCAGCUAAUUUUUGUAUUUUUAGUAGAGGCCAGGUUUCACCAUGUUGACCAGGAUGGUCUCAAACUCCUGACCUCAAGUCAUCCAUCCGCUUUGGCUCCCAAAGUGCUGGAUUACAAGCAUGAUCCACUGUGCCUGACCCAACAUGAAGGUUUUGAGAUGGCCAAGUGAAAGAAACAGGAACAGUAUGGACAAGAAACCUCAAGCACUGGCAACUUAAUUUCUCUAAUGAGGAAUUGUAUGUAUGUUUGUAUGUAUUUGUGUUUUGGAGCAAGAAUAUUUCAUUGAGGUUAUCUGUCCACGUGGGUUUUCAACACUGCUGUGACUAUUAAUUAGAGUAUGUAUAAUUAAGCCUACCAUUUAUAAAGCACCUGUUCUAUCCUGGGUAUUGUUGGAAUAUUAUCUUGUUUAAUCCUUACAACCACCUUAUGUAGUAGGAAUUGUCAUGCAAAUUUCCACAUAAGGAAUUAAGGCUCAGAGAAGUGGUCAGUAGUGGAGUUAGGAUUUUAAUUAGGCUUUUUCUGACUCCAAAGCUACUCCUACUACCACUGAAUUUCAAAAGCUCUCGUGAUCUCUAAC